CGCACAUUGCGCCCAUGAGUAUUCUCUUGGGCAUGCCUGUUCGAGCGUCAUUUCAACCCUUAAGCCUAGCUUAGUGUUGGGAAUCUACUGCCUUGUAGUUCCCGAAAACCAACGGCGGAUUUACAGUAUCCUCUGAGCGUAGUAAUCUUUAUCUCGUUUUUGUUAGGUGCUGCGACUCUAGCCGCUAAACCCCCUAUUUUCUAAAGGUUGACCUCGGAUCAGGUAGGAAUACCCGCUGAACUUAA
RNAcentral lists this unclassified non-coding RNA (245 nucleotides) under Xylariaceae sp. RNAcentral describes it as "partial contains 5.8S ribosomal RNA, internal transcribed spacer 2, and large subunit ribosomal RNA". The record is from RNAcentral. Lineage: Eukaryota; Fungi; Ascomycota; Sordariomycetes; Xylariales; Xylariaceae.